This 319-nucleotide long non-coding RNA is filed under the name Setaria viridis. RNAcentral's name for it is "long non-coding RNA (SVIR_LNC004241)". The record is from RNAcentral. Lineage: Eukaryota; Viridiplantae; Streptophyta; Magnoliopsida; Poales; Poaceae.
GGGGAGUAGUACAUACUACAGUAGAAGCAAAUUUGACUGGUUUCACCGGCCAAUUCACAUCGAGGCAACCAAAAUCAACUCUAGUGAAAUUGAUCCUGCAUGCACAACUUGCUCCUUCGGUUCCUGCAGUGUCUUCUAUGAUGUCAGUUGCCCAUCUGUACUCAGUUACCAGUGGUGUGGGACAAGUAGAAUUAAUAUAUAUAGCAGCUCCGAUUAGCAGCUCUCUAGAGCUGUUGCCCAAUUUAUCAUAUAUAGGCAACCUAAUUCUACAUCUACAUCUACUAGAAUGGGAAUGAGUACACUAUGGCAUCUAGCUAGC